This 254-nucleotide ribosomal RNA is filed under the name uncultured bacterium. RNAcentral describes it as "partial 16S ribosomal RNA". It matches the Rfam family "Bacterial small subunit ribosomal RNA", at positions 524 to 776 of the family's 1533-position model. The record is from RNAcentral.
UACGGAGGGUGCAAGCGUUGUCCGGAAUUAUUGGGCGUAAAGAGCUCGUAGGCGGUGUGUCGCGUCGGCCGUGAAAACCUGCAGCUUAACUGUGGGCUUGCGGUCGAUACGGGCAUCACUGGAGUUCGGCAGGGGAGACUGGAAUUCCUGGUGUAGCGGUGAAAUGCGCAGAUAUCAGGAGGAACACCGGUGGCGAAGGCGGGUCUCUGGGCCGAUACUGACGCUGAGGAGCGAAAGCGUGGGGAGCGAACAGG